Molecule: regulatory RNA element, 115 nt
Rfam family: SAM riboswitch aptamer (S box leader)
About the family: The SAM riboswitch is found upstream of a number of genes which code for proteins involved in methionine or cysteine biosynthesis in Gram-positive bacteria.
Source: Rfam
CUCUUAUCGAGAGAGGUGGAGGGACUGGCCCGAUGAAACCCGGCAACCGUAAAACGAAUCUUUUCGUUCAAAAGGUGCUAAAUCCUGCAAAGCCAAAUGCUUUGAAAGAUGAGAU